AAACCAGCACCUCAAGUGGUCAGGAGGAUUAUUGGGCCUAAAGCAUCCGUAGCCUGUUCUAUAAGUUUCCGGUUAAAUCCAUUAGCUCAACUAAUGGGCCGCCGAAAAUACUGUGGAACUAGGGAGUGGGAGAGGUAGACGGUACUCGGGAGGAAGGGGUAAAAUCCUUUGAUCUCUUGAUGACCACCUGUGGCGAAGGCGGUCUACCAGAACACGUUCGACGGUGAGGGAUGAAAGCUGGGGGAGCAAACCGGAUUAGAAACCCCAGUAGUCC
Molecule: ribosomal RNA, 274 nt
Filed under: uncultured bacterium
Lineage: Bacteria
Description: partial 16S ribosomal RNA
Rfam family: Archaeal small subunit ribosomal RNA
Source: RNAcentral